AGCUAAAUUUCCAGUGCUCUUGCCUUCCCAGCAGACAAGCUCCAACUUGCAGAGGAAAGUCUUUUUUCCACUGCUAAAAGGAAGUGGAUACCUCUUUACUGGGGAUACCUCACUUCCUGGGGGCUUACCUGGUUUAUCUUCCUCAUCUCAGUGCACUACAAUGGUAGAACCCAUUCAUUCUCAAGUAGUUACUGAACCACAGAGACUACCAAUUAUGUAACAUGUUUAAGUAUACACUAAAGACUAUAUUGAGGGCCACAAAUCAAUGAAAAUGAUAACACAUAGCACUUCUUCAAGAGAUGACUUUUUAUGUAUAGAUACUUGAAACUGACCCAAAUCCUGCAGCCUUACUUCAGACAAAGCUGGUGCUGAAGUCUACAUUAGUUGAUUGAAAUAAAUUAAAGCUUUGCUUCAGUAAGAACUGCAAAACCAGGCCUAGUGUGGUUAAGAAGUUAAUGAUAUAGCUUUCAUCAGCUGAGCUCUGAGGUAGACUUAAAAAGAAUUUCCUGGUGGAGUAAGAAGACCAACAAGUAGGUAACUCAUGAUGCUGUAAUACUUCUGAACUAACUUGCAGGGCUGGAACUAUGGGGAUUCUGGAUUGCUGACUCAUCCACAUCACCACAGGAGGCAUCGGCUGGGCUCCCACAGAAGGACCCUGUGAGGCUGGAUUCAGCAGGAAAUACUAUCCAACAGGACCUGACAGGUGGCCCCUGAUUGGCCGAUACCAGUACUUAAACAGGAAGCCACGAAAAGAAGCUGUCUGAGCAACAACACAGACUCCCUGCCCAUCUCUACUCUAGACCCUGCUUGCAAUACACCCUAGACUCUGGCUUCUGACCCUAGUUUGUCCUCAACUUCACUAUUUGAUUGCUGUCUGUAACCUUGUGUACAAGCCUGAUCUCCUGCUAACCUGACCCUCCCUGUCUCCUGAUGCCUGACUCUCAAUUCACCCUCUGACCUGUCUCAGAUUAUGUCCUCCCGAUAACCUGACCCUGCCUGCCUAUUGGAGCCUAACUUUCAAUUCACUCUGUGGCUCAUCUUGGGACUGUGACCUCAAAAUACCUGAUGUGGCCUGAUUCCUGCUCCAGCUACUAGGUAUGACUGCCCUCAUUCUGGUUGUGACACUAGACCAGGUGCAUAAUCACCCCCCCCCAAAAAAAAAACCCCAAACAAAUAAACAAACACACUUCCCAUUGCUCAGGCAUUAAUGUAUUGUGAACUUUUUCCUCUCAGGAUUAUCUGUGGAGAAAUUUAGAAUCAAUAUUUAUACCUAAUAUUGCUACAAAAUCCUCCCCCGGUCCCCCAAAAUACCUGCUCUUUGAAAGAUAAAAAUAUUCUGAAUUCAAAACAUCAUUCUAAUGCAUAAUUGUUAUAAAGUAAAGGUUAAUAAUGGUAGCACUGGUGAGUACUGAGUUUUACAGAUACCCAGUAUGACAAGAUAUUGCAUCUGUAAUGUUAACUAAAUACUAUCACUCAGUGACAUUAAAUUAUAACAACUUUGGUGAAAAAACACCUCAGAAUCAAAACUGAUUAAGUUUGUAAAUGAUUUGUGUUUGGGAAAAAAAAGACAAUUGUCCAAAAAGAGGAGAGCUUUAUAAAAGAUUAUGACAAAUUUAUAUCAGAUGCUUUUUCCAUGUUGUAGGUCAGCUAAUGCCCUGACAGUUCUGUAUCCAACUCUUACUUGAAGCAGACAUGAUAGGACGCAAACAGCAGCACUUAAAUGAGAGUUAAGGUUAAUGCAGAUCAUUCUGACAUCUGUACAAAUGUGACAGCCAAUCCCGCUGAAAUACUUUUAAAAUAUUACUGAUGCCAAGAUCAACGGUGCUGAAUGUUACACUAAUAUCCAACUGUGAAAAAGAGACACAUCAUUGGAAUGGGAAUUCAGGACCAGAAUUAAGAAGCUCUAAAUAUGCUGUGAUAAAGCUAUGAACCAGACUAAAUUUUUCAAUUAAAUGAUUGCUGGAAAGACAACUAAGAAGAGAACACAGAACUCAUUGGGCAGUGAGAGAGGCCAUUCAGCCCAUCCAAGUUCAUCCAUUCUUAGUACUCUACUUCCCUGUGUUUGGCAUCUCAUUUUUCUCAUAGAACGCCUGUGUUUUUGCCUCAGCAAGUUUGCCUGACAGCCUGUUUCACCCAUUUAUCACUCUCUUCAUGAAAAAAGUGGUUUUUGACACCUAUUCUGAUUUUUUUUCUCCUUAAAUGGUCAUUGUAUUUUCCUAUAUCCAAUCUUCUGUGCUGAACUGAAAAUAUCUCAGAUAUUAUUGUCAUAAAAAUUGUAUAUGCUUCAGUUUAACCUUUUCUUAGCUACUGUAUUUUGCAGCUAAUGUAGAUAUCUGUAUUUUCAGCUGGUCCCGUUAAACAUGGAGGCUCAAUCUCCAGGGUUGUCUUUCUUUUUUUCCAGUGCUACGGCAAUUAAUUCCUGUAUCUUAAUGAAUAGAACUGUUUAUCCUACCAUGUCUGUUUGUUGUAAGACAUGAUUGCAGAUCUGUAGUAGUUUCAGCUGAAUUGUGACAUACAGGGCCAAAUCCUCAGUCAUGGUGUUUUGGCAAUGGGCCUAAGCUAAUUGACACCAGAUGAGUUUCUGCCCCAGUAUCUCCAAGCAAAAUUGUGGCAAACAUCAAUGUGGGUGCGCUGGUGAUGGGGAGAAUCCAAAGAAUCUUUCUGCCUUGUGUCCUUACACAGGUUCUGCUCAGGUCAAGGAUUGCACUUGGCUAGUGACACGAGCCACCCAAAAGCAGCAGGGAAAGGGAAGGCCACAGUGCAUACUCCCUGAUACCUUGGUUCCUAGAAAUUUGUUGGCAUGCUGUCACACGUUUUUCUCUGCAAUUUUGGCACCCAAUCCUGUGAGAUGCUGUGAACCGGUUACUCCUCUUCACGUCAACCAGAGUUGAGGACAUCAAGCAAAUCACUAGAGACACUCAAUGAAUUGCAGAAUGGGAAUGUUAGUGCCUACCCCUGCCUCCUUUGAAACCACUGCUAAAAUUAUUGACUUUAAUAGGAAUGGCUCAGGCUCUUUGAAGUACUACAGCAAAUUGGCAAGAAGAAAGCAAAAUUAUAGCAUCAUCUUUUUAAAUUAUUUAAUGACAGAGUCUGGGUCCCUUACUUAUACUAAGCAGUAUCUAAACCAUACUUUCAUUGAAACUGGUGCUGCCAAACCUAAAUGUAGAUUAGCCUGCGUUAGUAGAUUUACAGUAAAUAGAGCCCUCAGUGCAAAUGAUUCUGAAUGAUAGAAACUAAAAUAUGUGACAAUGUGAAACUUAUGAAAUGGGUUCUCUGAAAAAGGUUGGCACAUUUUAUGUUACUUGAAUGGCUAAAUUUGACCUUUCGGUAUAUUUCUUUUUGAUACUUGGGUACUUGUCUAGUUAAUUUGUACACAUGGCAGGAUCUUGUAUGCACUGAUUUAAUAAUAAAACUAUAUUUUCAUCUCA
Molecule: long non-coding RNA, 3428 nt
Organism: Mauremys reevesii (Reeves's turtle)
Lineage: Eukaryota; Metazoa; Chordata; Testudines; Geoemydidae
Exons: 2
Source: RefSeq, a predicted model, not a curated record